UACGUAGGGGGCAAGCGUUGUCCGGAUUUAUUGGGCGUAAAGAGCGUGUAGGCGGCCAGGUAGGUCUGGUGUGAAAACUCGAGGCUCAACCUCGAGAGGUCAUCGGAAACCAUCUGGCUAGAGUCCGGAAGAGGAGAGUGGAAUUCCCGGUGUAGCGGUGAAAUGCGCAGAUAUCGGGAAGAACACCUAUGGCGAAGGCAGCUCUCUGGGGCGGUACUGACGCUGAGGUGCGAAAGCGUGGGGAGCAAACAGG
This 253-nucleotide ribosomal RNA is filed under the name uncultured bacterium. RNAcentral's name for it is "partial 16S ribosomal RNA". It matches the Rfam family "Bacterial small subunit ribosomal RNA", at positions 524 to 776 of the family's 1533-position model. The record is from RNAcentral.